GCCACCCAGCUACUUAAUGACAUCAUUUGGUAGUUGCUGUUCCCACAGAAAGGCUGGGGAACUUGGAUACGUACCCCUUCUCACAUCACAGCAACAGUAUGAGAAACUCAAGCUCUCUUCAGCCAUGAGUGGGCAGACAGGCCCUGGUGAUAAAGGAUCUGCCAGCCACCAUGAUACUUCCUCUGAGUCACCAGCUCUCAGGAUCCACUCCGUGUUUUCAAUGAAUGAGGGAAGACAGAAUAACAAUUUUGUACCCAAUAUAAUCUGCACAUGUGAGCCUCUUACUUCCACAGAGCCAGAAACUAAGAGCUGGUAGCUCUUGGGGCACAAUUCCUGAAUAAUAAAAGAGCAUUUCGAGGUCUGGGUAUUUCCCAUGCUGCAGAAUUCUACAUGGCUGGGCAUUGUGGUGCGCCGCUGAAAUCCUAGCACUUGGAAGGCUGAGGCGGAAGGAUCAUGAGUUCAAGACCACCCAGGACUACAUGCUCGUAGUAUUUGCUCUACCACAUUCUGGACCUUUUGAAGAGACAGCUGUGGACAUGCUAUAAAGGAUGACUGUUUUCACCAGCACUGUAUUCACUUCGCCCUCUAAGGCUGAUAAACCCAGAGCCAUUGCUUACAUUCCAAAGGAUGAUAAACCCAUUGACCUUCCUCUCUCUUCCGGAGUGGAUGGAUCUGUGUGGAGGACAAAGGUCUCUCCCCACAUUG
This is a non-coding RNA of Cricetulus griseus (Chinese hamster), 705 nucleotides long. The record is from RefSeq and is a predicted model, not a curated record. NCBI's taxonomy places the organism in Eukaryota, Metazoa, Chordata, Mammalia, Rodentia, Cricetidae.